Molecule: ribosomal RNA, 433 nt
Filed under: uncultured bacterium
Lineage: Bacteria
Description: partial 16S ribosomal RNA
Rfam family: Bacterial small subunit ribosomal RNA
Source: RNAcentral
AACGAACGCUGGCGGCAUGCCUAACACAUGCAAGUCGAACGAGACCUUCGGGUCUAGUGGCGCACGGGUGCGUAACGCGUGGGAACCUGCCCUUAGGUUCGGAAUAACUCCCCGACAGGGGUGCUAAUACCGGAUAAUGUCUUCGGACCAAAGAUUUAUCGACUUUGGAUGGGCCCGCGUUGGGUUAGCUAGUUGGUAGGGUAAAAGCCUACCAAGGCGUCGAUCCAUAGCUGGUCUGAGAGUAUGAUCAGCCACACUGGGACUGAGACACGGCCCUGACUCGUACGGGAGGAAGGCGUGGUGAAUAUUGGACAGUGGGCGAAAGCCUGAUCCAGCGAUGCCGCGUGGGUUAUGAAGGCCUUAGGGUUGGAAAGCUCUUUUAACCGGGAUGAUAAUGACAGUACCGUGAGAAUAAGCUCCGGCUAACUCCGUG